GAUGAACGCUGGCGGCGUGCCUAAUACAUGCAAGUCGAGCGAACGGACGAGAAGCUUGCUUCUCUGAUGUUAGCGGCGGACGGGUGAGUAACACGUGGAUAACCUACCUAUAAGACUGGGAUAACUUCGGGAAACCGUAGCUAAUACCGGAUAAUAUUUUGAACCGCAUGGUUCAAAAGUGAAAGACGGUCUUGCUGUCACUUAUAGAUGGAUCCGCGCUGCAUUAGCUAGUUGGUAAGGUAACGGCUUACCAAGGCAACGAUGCAUAGCCGACCUGAGAGGGUGAUCGGACACACUGGAACUGAGACACGGUCCAGACUCCUACGGGAGGCAGCAGUAGGGAAUCUUCCGCAAUGGGCGAAAGCCUGACGGAGCAACGCCGCGUGAGUGAUGAAGGUCUUCGGAUCGUAAAACUCUGUUAUUAGGGAAGAACAUAUGUGUAAGUAACUGUGCAAAUCUUGACGGUACCUAAUCAGAAAGCCACGGCUAACUACGUG
Molecule: ribosomal RNA, 497 nt
Filed under: uncultured bacterium
Lineage: Bacteria
Description: partial 16S ribosomal RNA
Rfam family: Bacterial small subunit ribosomal RNA
Source: RNAcentral